This 688-nucleotide long non-coding RNA is filed under the name Eucalyptus grandis. RNAcentral describes it as "long non-coding RNA (EGRA_LNC006443)". The record is from RNAcentral. Lineage: Eukaryota; Viridiplantae; Streptophyta; Magnoliopsida; Myrtales; Myrtaceae.
ACUGAACUAAAUGGGCUUCGCUGAACUGGGCUGAAAAAUUGCUGGACUGAUGGGCUCGUGAGAUUUGCUGGCCCAAAGAAGCUGUUCACUUGGGCUUUGGGCUGAACAGAAUAAUGGACUGGCUGCCUUCAUGGAUGGGCUGCUCACAGCUUGGGCUUCUCGAGGACUUGGAUGGCAGCAGCAGCAAUGUGAGCUGGCGCAGCCCAAUUGAAACAGAAACAGCGAAGGAAUCGCUGGCUUUGAGCGAUGGAGAGAAGAUGGGGACUCCUUUUGUUGACCGAAGACUUGGACAGGAGUUGGCGAUGGGGAUUCGGUGGAUUGAAGCCGCGUGGGCUUCAGUCUUCGAAAUUCGCGGGUGCUGCCCAGUCAACCGAAGGCUCCGCUUGGUGCUGAAAUUGAUCGCGAGCUGGCUUCAAUAGGUUUGAUCGAUCGAACGAGCGACAGAGAGGAGACUACGUGGACGUCGCUGCAAGGUCUUCGAUCAGCAAGGCUUCACGGAGUGUGGCUGAACUGCUUCAAGCUUCGUUGGUCUUCGAGCUGUGGAAUUCGAUAGUCCUCAGCUGCGUCGUUGAUUGGAGAGGGUGGACGUGGCAAGAGCUGAAGUUGGACCGAAUGGAGUUGACUUCGGUGGAGUCUUCGAUUCGGCUGGAGAGGACACGAAGCAGCUGCUGGCGACAGGAAGAAGUGG